UGAUCCAUUAGCUCAGUUGGUUAGAGCGUGGUGCUAAUAACGCCAAGGUCGCAGGUUCGACCCCUGCGUUGGGCCAU
Non-coding RNA from Chenopodium quinoa (quinoa), 77 nucleotides. NCBI's taxonomy places the organism in Eukaryota, Viridiplantae, Streptophyta, Magnoliopsida, Caryophyllales, Amaranthaceae. The record is from the annotation of a RefSeq genome assembly.